AAGUUUUGAAAGUCAUUUUUGAAAAUCUUUUAUGAGUAUUGGUUUAUCUAAUCUAAAUCAUGACUGGUUUGAACAUAUGGAUGCACACACGCACUUAAAGUAUCAUGAGUAGAUGUGAAGUUAAUGAAAGUUGUUGAAAUUGUAGACAUGACAUUGUUUUGAAGUUUUCAUUGAGUUAUUAUUUGAGGUAACCUUUGAGGCC
RNAcentral lists this long non-coding RNA (202 nucleotides) under Panax ginseng (ginseng). RNAcentral's name for it is "long non-coding RNA (PGIN_LNC014107)". The record is from RNAcentral. Lineage: Eukaryota; Viridiplantae; Streptophyta; Magnoliopsida; Apiales; Araliaceae.